AAGAAGGACAUGUCAUUUUUGAGGAACUUUAUCUCGAUUUCAUCGUCUCGAAGGUUGUGACAAUCGCAAUGUCUCAUCUGGUAAGUCCGCAAAUGAAAGCUCCUCAGUUAAAUCUGCUGGUUGUUGGUGCUCCAUCUCAUCACAAAUACACAGAAGCUAUAAUGAAAGAGAGAAGGUAGAAUGUUAUUUUUCUUUGAUCUUGUAUCUUUUAU
This 212-nucleotide long non-coding RNA is filed under the name Physcomitrium patens. RNAcentral describes it as "long non-coding RNA (PPAT_LNC008823)". Lineage: Eukaryota; Viridiplantae; Streptophyta; Bryopsida; Funariales; Funariaceae. The record is from RNAcentral.